UUCGAGCAAGUUCAACCUACGUCGUUGAACAGGACUAAUAUGUCGAUGUAUUAUUCCGUGAGUAAAAGGGACAUUUCUCUUUCUUUGUGUUUCUUCUUUCGCGCCUGCGCGUUCACAGUGUGCAUUAGUACAGUGACGAUUCGUUCGUUGAGAGCUCGUUAGAUGGGCUGUCUCGAUGGUUGAAUUUCCACUGGUUGGGGCAAAACCCAACUAAAAAGCACUGUCAAUGUCAAAAUAGAUAUCAAAACGAGUUUGACGUCUGACCGCCGUCGCAUCACAGCUCCUGUAUACAGAACGUUUGCGCAAGUAUGUGAGUGUUCCGUGACGUAUUUCUCGUCACUUGCGUGUGUCUAGAGCAUUUUGAUCAGUUGUCAGUUGCCCCAACGAACGAACACGAUUCGCUAAUCGGGGCGCAGUCGUGACCCAACCAGCGAAUCCGGACUGUAUUUAGCCGUGUCGCUCUAUAAUGUGUGCUCCGUCGUCCCUCAGCAUGGCUGCAUCUGAACACGAAAUUGAAUUUCUUGAGGUUGAAUAAUUUGCCGUUACGUAGUUUAAAAAUUUAUAAAGACACCCCAAAACUGAAUUGUUUAUAAAACUGUUGCAUCAUAAUCAUUUCAUUUCGUUUGUUGAAUGUUGUAUGGUGCACUAGAACCUGGGAAGACUGUAUUCGAUGAAAUUUGGACACAGAAAAUAAUGUAUAGGUUUUGAUUGCGUUCACAAAAUCAAAUAUUUUUUUGACCAGGAAUAAUAUAUAAUGUGUAGCUAAUACCAUAACAAUGGCAACAAAUUCAGUUUGAUAUUGGCGCAGAUAUUGUUAAUAUCAUAAAACAAGAUUUUAGCAUUUUUUUUCACCCGUUUUAAAAAUUGUGUAGGUUAUAAUUUUGAUGUAACUCGUCAAGACGUCUGAAAAUUUAACUCGAAGUUCUUAACAGAGUAUCAAUAAACUGAUAAAAAAAUCUCAAAAUCGGUUCAAUACGUUUUUCUAGUAUUCAAAACUCAAAUCGCUUCAAGGCAUAUUUUAGGUAAUUUUUAAUCAUUUUAUUCCGUGUGUACUAUUUUGUUUGUACAACUGUCAUGACUGUUCCGAUUUUUAUUAACAUUUGAAACUGUAAAACCAUUAUGAAAACUGUUCUUAGCCAAAUUGCUUGAAAAUUUUUCAAGUUAUAACUGUUUGAAUGCCAUGAUACAAAAACAAAACAUUUUUGCUUAUUGUGACUUUGUGCCGCAUAUGCGGCUAAAACUUUAUUACGGCUAGAUCAAAUUGAAUGAAAUUUUUGCACAAUAUUUCUACAUGUAUACUUUACAUACAGAACAGUUUUGAUUGAAAUCGGUUCAGUAUUUUUGGUUCUAGAGCUAUAACGGUGAAGAAGUGAUAUUUUUAAAAACGUUCGUUUGCUCAAACUUCUCAAAUGGCAAAUUUCUUGUUUCAACGAUAUCUCCACCAAUAUUCAACCGAUUUUGAUGAAAUUUGUAUGGUAUUAGCUUUACGUAAUACACUAUUCCUGGUAAAAAAAUAGUCAUUUACUAUUUUAUUAGGAAAUCUUUCUGAAUUCCAGGAAUUCGUUCCAAGAUCCCUACGAGAAUUGCUCUGAGAUUCCCUCAGAAUUUCUGCUUGGGAUUCCUCCAGAAAUUCCAUCCUAGAUGUCUCUCGAAAUUAAUUCAGGAUUGCUCCAGGAGUUCUUUCUGGGAUACCUAAGGGAGUUCCCUCAGAUGUUAUUCCUGCAAUUUGUUUAGGAUUUGUUCAGAACUUCCACGAGUUCUCUCCAGGAUUACUCCUGUAACUCCAUACGGGAUUCCUUCAGAGAUUCUUUCAUGGAAUUCUCUAGAAAUUCCUUCCGAGAUUCCUCCAGAAGAUUCCUAUGAAAUUAUUCUAGAAGUUCGUUCAGGGAUUCUUUCACGAGUUUUUUUUUAUAAUUUCUCCAGAACCUUUCGGAAUGUCUUCAGAUUUUUAUCUGGGAAGAAACUAUUGAAAGAAUCUCUAAAAUAGCUCGUGUAGAUAUUCCCUGCAAAACUGCUGGAGAUAUUCGUUAAGAAGCAGGAAUUUUAUAAGGAACUCAAGAGCAAGUCUUGGAGUACUUCCAUAAAGAAUAAAAAAAAACUUCUGGAGUAUUUCCAUGAGCAAAAUUUAAGAAACUUCCAGAAUGAAUUCCAGAAUAUGUAAUCUGCAAGGAAUCCCAGUAGAAGUUCUUGGAGGAAUCCCGGAAGGAUAUCCUGGAUAAAUUAUUGGACAAGUCUUAGAAGGAACUCCUGGAAGAACCUUGACUUAUUUUCCAGGAGUCUGGAAGUUCUGAAGAAAUUCCGGAAAGAACUUUUAAAAAAUUCCCGGAAGAUACCCCGGGUAAAAUUUCUGGAGAGGUCCCUGAUGCCACCCCUGGUGUAAUCUUAGAAGAAAAUCCUGGAGAAAUACCAGAAGAAACUAUGAGAGGAACCCAUAAAAUUACUCCUAGGGGAAACCUAGAAGGAGAUCCUGGAGGAAUCCCGGAAGAAUCUAGAGGAAUUACAAAAGGAAUUCUUUGAGGAUUCACAUGAGAAACGUCCAGAGACAACCUAGAUGAAUCUCAAAAAGUUGUAUCUUAGAAAGAAAUCCUAGAAGAAUCACUGAAAGAACUCCAGGACGAAUCAAAGAAUGAAUUCCUAUAGAAAUCCUAGAAGGAAAUCCUGAAAUGAUCCCGGAAGGAAUUCCUGCGGCAAUCUCCGAAUAAAUAUCUGAGUGAACCCCGGAUAAAAAAUACUUAAGAAAUCCCGGAUGAAAUUAUUGUAGAAUAGUUCGAAAAAACUCCUGGUAGAAUCUUAGAAAACACCUCUGGAGAAAACCCUGAAGGAACUCCUAGAAGAUCCCAAAAUUAAAAAAAAAAACAAAAUAAAUAAAUCCUGAAUUAGAAGGAACUCACGGAGGGAUUUUUUGUAGAACUUCUAAUGAAAAUCUCAGAGACAUUUUAUAAGAAUCCCCUGCGAACUUCUGAUGGAUUUUUCGGUGGAACAUCUGGAAGAAUUUCAAGAGGACUUUCUGUGAAACCCCAAAGAAAAACCUUUGUACGGAAUGCCAAAAGAUUCAUCACAAAGAAUCUGGAACUCCGUUGCACGGUGUCAAAAUUUCGAUUAUUAUCGAACUUCCAUGUACCUCGGAUCUUUCUUCACAGAAAGUCAGCAUUUUGGCUAUACUUUAUAAUUGGAAAGUUUUAAAAUAUUCCAUCGGGGAAAUUUUGAUUUAUCUAAGUUUUUGGCUAUUUUCCAUACUAAAAUUAAUUAAAUAUUAUCGUCGCACCACCAAAUCGAAGUCGUCGCUAGAAGCACAUGCGAAGUUGCAGCUGCGAAGUAAAUUUGAAUCUAUUUUUUCUGUUGCGCAUCAUUAAGCUAAUUAAGAGCAACAAUAUGCACUAAUCCAAAUUGAGUUGCGACAUUUUUAAGUAGGUUAAAAAUCAAUUUUCGCACGUUCGGUCACUUCGUAUUUCGACCAAAAGCAUAAUACUAAUUUUAACCAAAUAACGUCCCAUACAAAAUGUAUGGGAAAAUUUUCACCAAUAAAAUAUUUUCUCGUCUUCCGAUUAUGAAUAUAUCGGCACCAACAUUUCAAAAGGGCGUAACUGCUUUUGCAACCAAUGCCUUCCCACAGAGCUGUGGGUCGUAUUUCAUUCAUCUCAAGCAAUUCACAUCCAUUAAUUGAAAGAGGAGGAUUUUAUCUUUCUAUUUGUGCUAGUGGAUUGCUCGAGAGGGAUGGGAUACGCUCCACAGCUUUGUGAGAAGGCAUUGGUUGUAAAUGCAGUUACGUCCUUUUGAAAUGUUGGUGCCGAUAUAGCCCAAAUACUAACAAUUUCCGAAGAAAAAUCCGAGGUACAUGAAAGUUCGAUAAUAAUCGAGAUUUUGACACCGUGACGUUGAAAUCUCACUAUCUGGAUUUUCCCCAUACGCGCGCAAAAAUUAAAUUUAAAUUUCAAUCACACUUCCUGAUGAAACGAACAAAAUUUUUCUCAGUCCAAAUCGUAAACAACGAGGCCACGAAACGCCACACGAACAACGAACAAUUUAUCUAGCAACCGGCGGCCGUAUGCAGUGCCCUUUUCUUCACAUCCUUCUUACAGCAUCGUUUCGUAAAAAUGCUGUCGGUUAAACAAAUGUCAAAAUUACUUACGGAAAAAGGAGGAAUUUUACUUGAGCGCUCUACUUGGGAACUGGAAACUUACCAUAACGAUGCAAUCCGUGGUCUAUUAAACCCAAAUCUUGUAUUGUUCAUUGCGGAAAUUGAUAGAUUCCAGCGCGAAAAAUGAUACCUAGCUGAUAUAAAAUUUCAACACGGGAUAAGCGAUUUUACCAUAGACUAAUUUUACUCCAGCGCACUAAGCAUUAUAUGAAUAGCCAGUUGUAGCGCGUGGGAAAACUUCUAAUUUCAACCCCGACAAUAUUUUAGCGUCAAUGCAUUAUUUUGUGCAUUAUAAACGUUUGUUUUCAAUGCAAACAACGAAUUAGCCUUCCAUCCUAUUCGAAAGUCACAAAACCAACCAGUGUGAAGAAUGACCCUAAGUUAAAAUUCACGAAUAAAAAGAAAUUAAAAAAAAAAAAAACAAUCAAAAAUUUCGUCAACAUAAGAGCGAGGCAUGUUACGCGAUCUACUGUGUAACUUUGAGGACAAAGUGCCACCAGAAGAACAGUCGGGCAUAUACCAGGUACCUUGCAAUGACUGCCCGGCGGUUUACAUCGGUCAAACACACCUCAAGGACUGUUUGCAGUUCAGAAGGAAUUUCUCAGCCUAUCUUGAUGCAUGGGAAAUUCCUUGCCUGAAUCGCCCAAGAAACCGUUUUUCUUCCAUCGCAGUACGCAGUUGCGAAGAAAUGACAAUUCAAAUGGCAGUCACCGUAGAAAGUUUCAGCCAGGAAUCGCUCAAGAAGUUUCUUGAGCGAUUCCUUUUGAACUCGAAACUACGCUUCAAGGUCAAGAUACGUUUGAAACAUGAGCAUGAGCAUGAGCACAGACAAACAGACGUAAAUCUUAGAGGAAAUUCAUCACAAACUUUUGCCCGGUAUCAUUUUCAUGAGCACACUGCCACCUGUUGGUAGAACCGCGCGCGAUACUGUCGGCCAUGAUGAAUUUGGAUUUGACGUUUUGCUGACACGCACACUACUACACAAAUUGCCUGUAAUUUUCGUUUGCAUCAUUCAGCAAUGUUGAAGUGGGAGCUUCGGAAUGAAUGCGACACGGAUAAGUUUCAGGAGUAACUUUAUUACGACCACAUUGGUCGGAGUCUUGUCAAGAACUGCCCGUAUAAAAACGAACAAUUAAGGCUAUGGGCACAACAAUUGAAAAACAAUAGAUUUUUAUGUUAACAUUGCUUUCUAUUGUGAAUGUAUUAUACAGCAUAUUUUAAAAUUUGAUUCUUUAUAAUGAUUACAAUUGGUUCACAUUAGAUUUCAUUGUUACAUAGACAAAUAAUAGAUUAACAUUUGAAUUCAUUGUUACUUUUGGAUUCAGCGUUCAAACCAUUGGUUUACAAUAGAAUGUAUCAGCUACAUUGAAAUGUACCGUUUUUCAAUGGUCUGAACGUUUAAAAAAACCCUGCUUUUAAGUACAGUGACGAUUCGUUCGUUGAGAGCUCGUUAGAUGGGCUGUCUCGAUGGUUGAAUUUCCACUGGUUGGGGCAAAACCCAACUAAAAAGCACUGUCAAUGUCAAAAUAGAUAUCAAAACGAGUUUGACGUCUGACCGCCGUCGCAUCACAGCUCCUGUAUACAGAACGUUUGCGCAAGUAUGUGAGUGUUCCGUGACGUAUUUCUCGUCACUUGCGUGUGUCUAGAGCAUUUUGAUCAGUUGUCAGUUGCCCCAACGAACGAACACGAUUCGCUAAUCGGGGCGCAGUCGUGACCCAACCAGCGAAUCCGGACUGUAAUUUCGAAACAGUGUGUAUUGAUGACAGCCAAGUUUUUUUGUUAUCAGUUUGGUAGUCGACGGUAAAAUUUUUCGAAGUGCAGGUUCGUCUGCGGAAAAUGUGGAAAAUUCACGCUCAACUGCGUGAAUUUUCCACAUUUUCCGCACGUGAGUUAAUAUAGUGUGUGGUGCAGUGUAAAAGCAUACAAUAGUAGCAGCAUUUCAACAGCAGUCGCAAGGACAUGAAGCCUGUGCAGAAGCAGUUAGCUCUCAGCUUAUUCGAUCGCAUUGCGGUCGAGGGAAUACGCAUGAUUAGGACUGAUCGCUGCAUGGACGAGAACUAGGAGCGCUGAGAAGAGAACGGGGGUGCGGAAUGCUGAAUCAAGAAACUUUGUGGUUUUAUUCUGAAAUCACCGAUCGGUUCAGUAGUUUCCGAGUCUAUUAGGGUCAGACAGACAGACAAACAGUAGUAACUCAUUUUUUAUAUACAGGGUGUUAGGUUCCCGAGUGCAAACUUUUUAAAGGGUGAUAGAGGACCAUAAAUGGAGAAAAAAAAUUGUUCUACGCAUAUGGUCAAAUCUCAACCGUUACGUAGUUAUUGAACUUCCCAUGUUUAUGACUCUUAUUGCCUUAACUGACAAUAACUUGAAAAUGGUCAAACUUAUCGAAGUUUUUUUUAUCCUUAUUCGAAAGAUUAUUGAAUUUUCUAACAAAUGGUAUCUUUGAAUCGAUUGGUUUAGUUAAAUAACUAAGUUUUCUAGAACAAAAUUACUAAAAAUACUGUAUUUUUAUUGGCUGUUGUCAAUUAUCUUUGAAACAUGCGUAAUAAAUUGAAAUUCUUUCUUUGGGAAAGUUGUGGCUCCUGUUACACUCUACAAUUCGUUCUUUGACACCAAACUUCUAGCUCUUAUCGUUUUCUUGCAAUUUUGAUUUAAAUGUGCGGCACAAUGCGCAAAAAAGUGCUUUCCAUGACAGUUGCAAAUUUAUGAUCUGAAAUGCGAUGUUAAAAUCGAAAUUGCAACACAAUGAUAAGAGAUAGAAGUUUGGUGUCAAAGAACGAAUUGUAGAGUGUAACAGGAGCCACAACUUUCCCAAAGUAAGAAUUUCAAUUUAUUACGCAUGUUUCAAAGAUAAUUGACAAAAACCAAUAAAAAUACAUUAUUUUUAGCUAUUUUGCUCUAGAAAACUUAGUUAUUCAACCAAACCAAUCGAUUCAAAGAUGCCAUUUGUUGGAAAAUUCAAUAAUCUUUCGAAUAAGGGUAAAAAAACUUCGAUAAGUUUGACCAUUUUCUAGUUAUUGCCAGUUAAGGCAAUAAGAGUCAUAAACAUGGGAAGUUCAAUAACUACGUAACGAUUGAGAUUUGACCAUAUGCUUAGAACAUUUUUUUUCUCCAUUUAUGGUCCUCUAUCACCCUUUAAAAAGUUUGCACUCAGGAACCUAACACC
Long non-coding RNA from Aedes albopictus (Asian tiger mosquito), 7301 nucleotides. RefSeq lists it as uncharacterized. The transcript is spliced from 2 exons. NCBI's taxonomy places the organism in Eukaryota, Metazoa, Arthropoda, Insecta, Diptera, Culicidae. The record is from RefSeq and is a predicted model, not a curated record.